ACGAACGCUGGCGGCAGGCCUAACACAUGCAAGUCGAGCGGACCUUUCGGGGUCAGCGGCGGCCGGGUGAGUAACGCGUGGGAAUAUGCCCUUCUCUACGGAAUAGUCCUGGGAAACUGGGGGUAAUACCGUAUACGCCCUUUGGGGGAAAGAUUUAUCGGGGAAGGAUUAGCCCGCGUUGGAUUAGGUAGUUGGUGGGGUAAUGGCCUACCAAGCCGACGAUCCAUAGCUGGUUUGAGAGGAUGAUCAGCCACACUGGGACUGAGACACGGCCCAGACUCCUACGGGAGGCAGCAGUGGGGAAUCUUAGACAAUGGGGGCAACCCUGAUCUAGCCAUGCCGCGUGAGUGAUGAAGGCCUUAGGGUUGUAAAGCUCUUUCAGCUGGGAAGAUAAUGACGGUACCAGCAGAAGAAGCCCCGGCUAACUCCGUG
RNAcentral lists this ribosomal RNA (432 nucleotides) under uncultured bacterium. RNAcentral describes it as "partial 16S ribosomal RNA". It matches the Rfam family "Bacterial small subunit ribosomal RNA", at positions 29 to 507 of the family's 1533-position model. The record is from RNAcentral.